Molecule: long non-coding RNA, 754 nt
Organism: Photinus pyralis (common eastern firefly)
Lineage: Eukaryota; Metazoa; Arthropoda; Insecta; Coleoptera; Lampyridae
Exons: 4
Source: RefSeq, a predicted model, not a curated record
UCUCUCGCCGUGAGUGAGUUUAGUUGUGCGAGAUUUAUUAAAUUAGGUACUCAUAUUUUAAUACGAAUUGAACGAUUGAAAGAUAAAAAUAAGCAAGUUCAAAAUGUUUUGUUCAACACUAUGCGAUUGCUAAUGACCUGUUCAAAGUUCUUCAUGUUUUCGAAAACUGUAUGAUGUUGCUGUUAUGUUAUGUUAUAAACAGUCGCAUCUAUAGCUGCACAUAACCAAAUAAAAAGUAAUCCCAGGGUGUUAGAUCAGGUGAUUUUGGCGGCCAACGGUUUCUUCCAACAAUUCGGUCAUCAAAAUACUAAUACCGGUCGAUAUGGACAACAUAAUAGUUAUUUAGUAUUGUUUAACAAACAUUUUUGCACUAUACGUUUUACGUACUACGAUACUAAUUAAUAUUUCAAGUACGAAUUCCAAGGGAGAGAUUUGGUCAGUAUUGUUUCGUGCUUUCUAAGUGUUGUGACGUGCACUUGUUAAAUUGGAGUAACUCGAAUUACCCCAGUGAUGGUCCAGGCCGAGAGCAGCCAUGGAGGCCAGGUACCGUUAGAGACCCAGACGAUCCUGACAAUUUGGGGUUCCGUAUGACAAACAAGUUUGUUGGAAUAGCUGUCACACUGGCGUUUGCGGGCUUUGUUCAACGCGAACACGCACAUCUACUACCGCCUCGUUGUGGGGCGACCAGCGCAUUUUCCACAAACAACACUUCCUGUAUCGUCAAAUCGCUUAACUACACGAAGAAUGUGACUGC